UGGUUUUCCGUCACCCUGGUUCUGUAGUCUCGGUUCUCCGACUCCCUCUUUUUCUCGCUUGUGGACUCCGAUAUAUUGCCCUUCUUCCCUUAGAAGAACUGCUGAACCGACUCUGAGAAAUUUGAAAACAUCUGGAGAAAAUGACCCAUUGGUUUCAUAGGAACCCAUUAAAAGCCACAGCUCCUGUGUCUUUUAAUUACUAUGGUGUAGUCACUGGCCCUUCUGCUUCAAAAAUAUGCAAUGACUUGAGGUCAUCCAGGGCACGACUCCUUGAACUGUUCACUGAUUUGAGCUGUAAUCCAGAAAUGAUGAAGAAUGCAGCAGAUUCAUAUUUCUCACUUUUACAAGGUUUCAUAAAUUCUUUGGAUGAAUCUACCCAAGAAAGCAAGUUACGAUAUAUUCAAAAUUUCAAGUGGACUGAUACAUUGCAAGGACAGGUUCCAAGUGCCCAGCAGGAUGCUGUUUUUGAAUUAAUUUCCAUGGGAUUUAAUGUAGCUUUAUGGUAUACCAAAUAUGCUUCAAGACUGGCUGGAAAAGAAAAUAUAACAGAAGAUGAAGCAAAAGAAGUUCAUCGAAGCCUAAAGAUUGCAGCUGGGAUUUUUAAACAUUUAAAGGAAAGUCAUCUCCC
RNAcentral lists this long non-coding RNA (628 nucleotides) under Homo sapiens (human). Its description in RNAcentral is "long non-coding RNA NONHSAT150614.1". Lineage: Eukaryota; Metazoa; Chordata; Mammalia; Primates; Hominidae. The record is from RNAcentral.